AACGAACGCUGGCGGCAGGCUUAACACAUGCAAGUCGAGCGCCCCGCAAGGGGAGCGGCAGACGGGUGAGUAACGCGUGGGAAUCUACCCAUCCCUACGGAACAACUCCGGGAAACUGGAGCUAAUACCGUAUACGCCCUACGGGGGAAAGAUUUAUCGGGGAUGGAUGAGCCCGCGUUGGAUUAGCUAGUUGGUGGGGUAAUGGCCUACCAAGGCGACGAUCCAUAGCUGGUCUGAGAGGAUGAUCAGCCACAUUGGGACUGAGACACGGCCCAAACUCCUACGGGAGGCAGCAGUGGGGAAUAUUGGACAAUGGGCGAAAGCCUGAUCCAGCCAUGCCGCGUGAGUGAUGAAGGCCCUAGGGUUGUAAAGCUCUUUCAACGGUGAAGAUAAUGACGGUAACCGUAGAAGAAGCCCCGGCUAACUUCGUGCCAGCCGCCGCCGUAACAC
This 450-nucleotide ribosomal RNA is filed under the name uncultured bacterium. RNAcentral's name for it is "bacterial SSU rRNA". It matches the Rfam family "Bacterial small subunit ribosomal RNA", at positions 29 to 526 of the family's 1533-position model. The record is from RNAcentral.